RNAcentral lists this small nuclear RNA (23 nucleotides) under Arabidopsis thaliana (thale cress). Its description in RNAcentral is "snRNA_04547". Lineage: Eukaryota; Viridiplantae; Streptophyta; Magnoliopsida; Brassicales; Brassicaceae. The record is from RNAcentral.
UUCCGAGAUGUUGGGCUUGGACU